This 1759-nucleotide long non-coding RNA is filed under the name Solanum tuberosum (potato). RNAcentral describes it as "long non-coding RNA (STUB_LNC003292)". Lineage: Eukaryota; Viridiplantae; Streptophyta; Magnoliopsida; Solanales; Solanaceae. The record is from RNAcentral.
UACACCAGACUUGCAUCCUUUCCGGUCAACCUCUCCUACUUACUCAAAAGUUGUUGAUCCUUUUCCAUUGUAUCCCUUCCAAUAUAUCCAAGAAUUAAUUUGGAAUAAACGUUACACAAUUAUAUUAGAGGGAUUAAAUCUCUAAAUACGUGUAUGCAUGGAAGAUGAUAUUAUGUACCUAUUUGUGAAUACAAUAUCCAAAGCAAUUUUUUUGAACUCCUUCAAUUAACUUAACAUUAAUUUCUUUGAACAAAUUACCAAAUAUCCCUUAUCCGAUCAAUGCUCGCCACAUGUCACGAUUAGAAGUGGUGAAGUGACAUGUGUCAAUAUUAAAAACAAAAAUAUAUGACUACCUCAAAUUCAAACGAAAAAUCUACGUACGGAAGAAGAAGAAAAAAUGAAUGGAGGAAGAUAAAUGAAAGAUAAAAGGAAAAGGUAGUGGAUGAGAAUAGAUAAGGUCCUAUCUUCAAUCUAAUGCUACUUGUGGUUGUACUUCAACAUUUGCUUCACAUUCUUUCAAUUUUUAUCUCCUUCAAUUAUCAAUUUGGUGGUCGAACUUUUUAGUUAUUAUCACUAUGGACCAUAUGUGUUUCUGCAACAGUAUGGCCUAAUUCUCCUUAUGUGGGGGGAAUAUAGAUGAGUUUUGAAUUAAAAAAUAAUAUUUGUCGGCAUUAUAAAAUUAUUUACUCAUUCGAUGUAUCCAACGAGUUAAUUAUUUUUCAAAAGUUAUCGAUUCAUAUCUACCGUUUAGAAAGAAAAAAAAAGGGGGGGCCAUAAAAAUGUGGUUGGCUAAUUUAAGGGAUACUCCUAUUCAGUUUAUAAAAUAGUGACUAGCAAAAAGAAUUUGUUGCACAAGCAUCAACUUUACUUAUUAGAUUACCCAUAUAUUGCAAAUGAGUGUCAGUUUAUUUAGAAUAAAGAUAUGAUAUUUCUCACCUUUGCAUUAGGAUAAUGUUGAAAGUCCCCAUUGCACUUUGGCUUGUAAAUUGAUUUAUAUACCUGUUUGUCUCCCACAAGCUCCCUGCUGAUCCUUUUAGAUGAUUUAGAACUUUGGCUAAUUUGUGUGAGUUUCAACUAUUACAUCACAUACUUGUUAUCUCCUAAGAAAUUUUGUCCACCAAGACAUACACAAUUAUGAAGAAAGCACCUAUAUAGAGUAAAACCCAAUUACACUCUCUCUGUAUAGAGUGCAGAACAUGAUUUUUGGCAUGAUCUUACUCCCUACCCAAUCGUUGUGGUGUAUAUUUCCGAAUCAAUUGAAUUGUAAGUUGCUAUAGCUUUUACCAACUACUGUGGUCUGUCGAAAUGAAAAAGAAACUAUAUCCUCCUGAUGGCCCCAAAUUCCCCUGACGCUUCUCGGUUUGAAUUUUUCACAUCGUUUUAAUCAUGAAUAUUUUGUUGAAAAUAUAUACUAUAAUAAUAAUAAACCUAUCGAGAUGAAAGCCUAGCAGAUUGCAAGACUCAUUGACCUAUGUUUUCUGAGGGAUGUCUGAGGCCAUAAUCUUAAGGAAUCCACAAAAUUGGGAAAGGGUAGAGAGAAUGAUGCAUGUUUCAUUUAAUAUAGGCAAUGGAUGGUAGAAUGAAAAUUCUGUAUUUUUUGGCCCCUUUAAGUCCAUGCAAAUGUUCCUCAAACCUCUUUAGGCAAUUUGAGAAUGUCUAUAUCACUACUCAUCGUUUCGACAUAUUAGGCACAUAAUUGCACAUAGGUCAGAUUGUCAAAUUACACAUCAAACCCUAUACCAGAGGACCCCACCCCUUC